Molecule: ribosomal RNA, 754 nt
Filed under: uncultured marine bacterium
Lineage: Bacteria
Description: bacterial SSU rRNA
Rfam family: Bacterial small subunit ribosomal RNA
Source: RNAcentral
AGUGGCAGACGGGUGAGUAACGCGUGGGAAUCUACCUUUGAGUGGGGAAUAACAAUUAGAAAUGAUUGCUAAUACCGCAUACACCCUCCGGGGGAAAGGCUUCGGCCGCUCUUAGAUGAGCCCGCGUACGAUUAGUUUGUCGGUGAGGUAAAGGCUCACCAAGACUACGAUCGUUAGCUGGUUUGAGAGGAUGAUCAGCCACACUGGGACUGAGACACGGCCCAGACUCCUACGGGAGGCAGCAGUGGGGAAUAUUGGACAAUGGGCGAAAGCCUGAUCCAGCCAUGCCGCGUGAGUGAAGAAGGCCUUAGGGUUGUAAAACUCUUUCAACAGGGAAGAUAAUGACGGUACCUGUAUAAGAAGCUCCGGCUAACUCCGUGCCAGCAGCCGCGGUAAUACGGAGGGGGCAAGCGUUGCUCGGAAUUACUGGGCGUAAAGCGAGCGUAGGCGGUUAGUCAAGUUGGUGGUGAAAGCCCGGAGCUCAACUCCGGAACUGCCAUCAAAACAGACUUACUUGAGAUUGGUAGAGGAAAAUGGAAUUCCUAGUGUAGAGGUGAAAUUCGUAGAUAUUGGGAAGAACAUCGGUGGCGAAGGCGAUUUUCUGGGCCAUAUCUGACGCUGAGGUUCGAAAGCGUGGGUAGCAAACAGGAUUAGAUACCCAGGUAGUCCACGCCGUAAACGAUGAGUGCUAGACGUUGGAAAUUAAUUUUUCAGUGUCGUAGUUAACGCAUUAAGCACUCCGCCUGGGGAGUAC